This 71-nucleotide transfer RNA is filed under the name Cavia porcellus (domestic guinea pig). It matches the Rfam family "tRNA". Rfam says of the family: Transfer RNA (tRNA) molecules are approximately 80 nucleotides in length. Their secondary structure includes four short double-helical elements and three loops (D, anti-codon, and T loops). Lineage: Eukaryota; Metazoa; Chordata; Mammalia; Rodentia; Caviidae. The record is from Rfam by way of RNAcentral.
UGGGGUGUAGCUCAGGAUAGAGCACUCACCUGGUAUGUGUGAGGCCUUGGGUUCAGUUUCCAGUACUUCAC